This 515-nucleotide ribosomal RNA is filed under the name uncultured bacterium. RNAcentral's name for it is "partial 16S ribosomal RNA". It matches the Rfam family "Bacterial small subunit ribosomal RNA", at positions 28 to 523 of the family's 1533-position model. The record is from RNAcentral.
GAUGAACGCUGGCGGCGUGCCUAAUACAUGCAAGUCGAGCGAAUGGAUUAAGAGCUUGCUCUUAUGAAGUUAGCGGCGGACGGGUGAGUAACACGUGAGUAACCUGCCCAUAAGACUGGGAUAACUCCGGGAAACCGGGGCUAAUACCGGAUAACAUUUUGAACCGCAUGGUUCGAAAUUGAAAGGCGGCUUCGCCUGUCCCUUAUGGCUGGCCACGCGUCGCAUUAGCUAGUUGGUGAGGUAACGGCUCACCAUGGCAACGAUGCGUAGCCGACCUGAGAGGGUGAUCGGCCACACUGGGACUGAGACACGGCCCAGACUCCUACGGGAGGCAGCAGUAGGGAAUCUUCCGCAAUGGACGAAAGUCUGACGGAGCAACGCCGCGUGAGUGAUGAAGGCUUUCGGGUCGUAAAACUCUGUUGUUAGGGAAGAACAAGUGCUAGUUGAAUAAGCUGGCACCUUGACGGUACCUAACCAGAAAGCCACGGCUAACUACGUGCCAGCAGCCGCAGUAA